UGAACGCUGGCGGCAGGCCUAACACAUGCAAGUCGAGCGGUAGCACAGAGAGCUUGCUCUCGGGUGACGAGCGGCGGACGGGUGAGUAAUGUCUGGGAAACUGCCUGAUGGAGGGGGAUAACUACUGGAAACGGUAGCUAAUACCGCAUAACGUCGCAAGACCAAAGUGGGGGACCUUCGGGCCUCAUGCCAUCAGAUGUGCCCAGAUGGGAUUAGCUAGUAGGUGGGGUAACGGCUCACCUAGGCGACGAUCCCUAGCUGGUCUGAGAGGAUGACCAGCCACACUGGAACUGAGACACGGUCCAGACUCCUACGGGAGGCAGCAGUGGGGAAUAUUGCACAAUGGGCGCAAGCCUGAUGCAGCCAUGCCGCGUGUGUGAAGAAGGCCUUCGGGUUGUAAAGCACUUUCAGCGGGGAGGAAGGCGAUAAGGUUAAUAACCUUGUCGAUUGACGUUACCCGCAGAAGAAGCACCGGCUAACUCCGUGCCAGCAGCCGCGGUAAUACGGAGGGUGCAAGCGUUAAUCGGAAUUACUGGGCGUAAAGCGCACGCAGGCGGUCUGUCAAGUCGGAUGUGAAAUCCCCGGGCUCAACCUGGGAACUGCAUUCGAAACUGGCAGGCUAGAGUCUUGUAGAGGGGGGUAGAAUUCCAGGUGUAGCGGUGAAAUGCGUAGAGAUCUGGAGGAAUACCGGUGGCGAAGGCGGCCCCCUGGACAAAGACUGACGCUCAGGUGCGAAAGCGUGGGGAGCAAACAGGAUUAGAUACCCUGGUAGUCCACGCCGUAAACGAUGUCGAUUUGGAGGUUGUGCCCUUGAGGCGUGGCUUCCGGAGCUAACGCGUUAAAUCGACCGCCUGGGGAGUACGGCCGCAAGGUUAAAACUCAAAUGAAUUGACGGGGGCCCGCACAAGCGGUGGAGCAUGUGGUUUAAUUCGAUGCAACGCGAAGAACCUUACCUGGUCUUGACAUCCACAGAACUUAGCAGAGAUGCUUUGGUGCCUUCGGGAACUGUGAGACAGGUGCUGCAUGGCUGUCGUCAGCUCGUGUUGUGAAAUGUUGGGUUAAGUCCCGCAACGAGCGCAACCCUUAUCCUUUGUUGCCAGCGGUUAGGCCGGGAACUCAAAGGAGACUGCCAGUGAUAAACUGGAGGAAGGUGGGGAUGACGUCAAGUCAUCAUGGCCCUUACGACCAGGGCUACACACGUGCUACAAUGGCAUAUACAAAGAGAAGCGACCUCGCGAGAGCAAGCGGACCUCAUAAAGUAUGUCGUAGUCCGGAUUGGAGUCUGCAACUCGACUCCAUGAAGUCGGAAUCGCUAGUAAUCGUAGAUCAGAAUGCUACGGUGAAUACGUUCCCGGGCCUUGUACACACCGCCCGUCACACCAUGGGAGUGGGUUGCAAAAGAAGUAGGUAGCUUAACCUUCGGGAGGGCGCUUACCACUUUGUGAUUCAUGA
This 1452-nucleotide ribosomal RNA is filed under the name Klebsiella pneumoniae. RNAcentral describes it as "16S ribosomal RNA". It matches the Rfam family "Bacterial small subunit ribosomal RNA". RNAcentral also lists the same sequence under 3 other names. The record is from RNAcentral. Lineage: Bacteria; Pseudomonadati; Pseudomonadota; Gammaproteobacteria; Enterobacterales; Enterobacteriaceae.